AGUGAACGCUGGCGGUAGGCCUAACACAUGCAAGUCGAACGGCAGCACAGUAAGAGCUUGCUCUUACGGGUGGCGAGUGGCGGACGGGUGAGGAAUACAUCGGAAUCUACUUUUUCGUGGGGGAUAACGUAGGGAAACUUACGCUAAUACCGCAUACGACCUACGGGUGAAAGCAGGGGAUCUUCGUACCUUGCGCGAUUGAAUGAGCCGAUGUCGGAUUAGCUAGUUGGCGGGGUAAAGGCCCACCAAGGCGACGAUCCGUAGCUGGUCUGAGAGGAUGAUCAGCCACACUGGAACUGAGACACGGUCCAGACUCCUACGGGAGGCAGCAGUGGGGAAUAUUGGACAAUGGGCGCAAGCCUGACCCAGCCAUACCGCGUGGGUGAAGAAGGCCUUCGGGUUGUAAAGCCCUUUUGUUGGGAAAGAAAAGCAGCAGGUUAAUACCCCGCUGUUCUGACGGUACCCAAAGAAUAAGCACCGGCUAACUUCGUG
This 492-nucleotide ribosomal RNA is filed under the name uncultured bacterium. RNAcentral describes it as "partial 16S ribosomal RNA". It matches the Rfam family "Bacterial small subunit ribosomal RNA", at positions 29 to 507 of the family's 1533-position model. The record is from RNAcentral.